RNAcentral lists this ribosomal RNA (647 nucleotides) under uncultured bacterium. RNAcentral's name for it is "bacterial SSU rRNA". It matches the Rfam family "Bacterial small subunit ribosomal RNA", at positions 228 to 884 of the family's 1533-position model. The record is from RNAcentral.
AUUCGCGGCCCUAUCACGCUUUUUGUUGAGGUAGUGUCUCACCAAGGCGACGCGGGUAGCCGGCCUGAGAGGGUGACCGGCCACACUGGGACUGAGACACGGCCCAGACUCCUACGGGAGGCAGCAGUGGGGAAUAUUGCACAAUGGGCGCAAGCCUGAUGCAGCAACGCCGCGUGAGGGAUGACGGCCUUCGGGUUGUAAACCUCUUUUAGUAGGGAAGAAGCGCAAGUGACGGUACCUGCAGAAAAAGCACCGGCUAACUACGUGCCAGCAGCCGCGGUAAUACGUAGGGUGCAAGCGUUGUCCGGAAUUAUUGGGCGUAAAGAGCUCGUAGGCGGCUUGUCGCGUCUGCUGUGAAAACCCGAGGCUCAACCUCGGGCGUGCAGUGGGUACGGGCAAGCUAGAGUGCGGUAGGGGAGAUUGGAAUUCCUGGUGUAGCGGUGGAAUGCGCAGAUAUCAGGAGGAACACCGAUGGCGAAGGCAGAUCUCUGGGCCGUAACUGACGCUGAGGAGCGAAAGCAUGGGGAGCGAACAGGAUUAGAUACCCUGGUAGUCCAUGCCGUAAACGUUGGGAACUAGAUGUAGGGCCUGUUCCACGGGUUCUGUGUCGUAGCUAACGCAUUAAGUUCCCCGCCUGGGGGAGUACA